RNAcentral lists this long non-coding RNA (1359 nucleotides) under Felis catus (domestic cat). Its description in RNAcentral is "lncRNA (ENSFCAG00000049897.1)". The record is from RNAcentral. Lineage: Eukaryota; Metazoa; Chordata; Mammalia; Carnivora; Felidae.
CUCAGUUUCCUCAUGUGACAUGUCAGAUUAAAUGAACUCAUGUAAGGAGAGCGCUUGAAAUGGUGUCCCGCACUUUAUUACCAUGAUUCCUAAUAACAUGUCUAUGUUAGUUUGGGUUGCCCCAGAAUUAAUGCAGAAAAUGUUCAUCUAUUUCAGUGAGAUUGCUUGAGCCAAGCUGGAUGCUGGUUUGUCCCGAGGGAGCGAGUAAAUUGAUGCAGGUCCCAUCUUUGGUUUUCGAAGUUCUACUGUGGCCAGAGGAACUCGGAGGCACUGAGCUGGGGGGACCCAGACACUGUGGUUGUUCAGAAGACAACUUUGAGUCCCUUCUAUCAUCUUUUUCACCAUUGAUUUAGGAGAGGAGGCCAACAUACCUUCAAGAGUAUCCCAUGCUAAAAAAGAUCUAAGAGCUCAGCUUCUGCUUGCCCAGAACUUCUGCUUGCACAACUAUUCCUUUCAAGGGAGGGAAGCCUUACAUGAUGCCAUGACCUGAGAGAACUCCUGGCCAUCAGUGUACCAUUCAAAUUUGGUACUUGGAGGGAACCUCACAUCCAACUGAGACUGAAUGUUCAAGGGACUUCCAUACAUGUCACUUCAGCAACAACUCUCCUGUCUUUCAUAGGGCUUUUAUUUUCAAUUAAGUCUAGACAAGUAAGGUAGCUGCUGAAUGGUUGAAUUCUGGAUAAGCGAGAUGUUGCAUAAAUCCAAAUUAAGCCACUGAACAGAUUAUACCGCAAAAAGCAUUGUGUUGGAUGCUUACGUGUAUUCAUUGCGAUCUUUUUCUAUGCCUAUAGAAUGACGGAAAUGAUGAAGCAAAACCCUCAUGAAAGCUAUUCACAGUUUAGCAUUUACCGUCAUACGGAAAUGUCAAUUUCAUCUAACAAAGAGAAUAUUAGGGGCACGUUCAAUAUAAAAUGCAAAUAUAAUAGCUUAGUAGGCUGGUUAAGUCAGCUGUGUUUCACUUAAACCUAUUACCUUGGCAGAUUAAAUACAGUUCCAGACCUUUUGCAAGAAGGAUAUUCUGAUGAAGUUACAUCUUAUACAAGCUUUUGAGACUGUUCCAUAUGAGUAGAAUGAGGACCAAAAUUAGUAAGGAAUAAGAACGAAUGGGACACAGCCAUGGAGAAAUAGGAGGAUCUUGCCCUGCAAACCUUCCAAUACCCACUAAGAAAUAUUGUUAUUUGCUCAAGGAUAAUUAUGAAUAAUUCAUAGCAAAGAUUAAUCUCUCAUGUGAUAAAAUAGGUGAGGAUACCCCAAUCUUUCCAGGCCUGCCUAACUACUUCCAAAUUUUGAUACCUACUUAUAUAACCCAACUCAUCUAAGUAGAGGUUGGGACCACCCUGUCUUGUGAUGCUGGCUGUA